Chiloscyllium plagiosum (whitespotted bambooshark) is the source of this 75-nucleotide non-coding RNA. The record is from the annotation of a RefSeq genome assembly. Lineage: Eukaryota; Metazoa; Chordata; Chondrichthyes; Orectolobiformes; Hemiscylliidae.
GGUAGUGUGGCCGAGCGGUCUAAGGCGCUGGAUUAAGGCUCGACAGAGGCGUGGGUUCGAAUCCCACCGCUGCCA